Molecule: ribosomal RNA, 497 nt
Filed under: uncultured bacterium
Lineage: Bacteria
Description: partial 16S ribosomal RNA
Rfam family: Bacterial small subunit ribosomal RNA
Source: RNAcentral
GAUGAACGCUGGCGGCGUGCCUAAUACAUGCAAGUCGAGCGAACAGACGAGGAGCUUGCUCCUCUGACGUUAGCGGCGGACGGGUGAGUAACACGUGGAUAACCUACCUAUAAGACUGGGAUAACUUCGGGAAACCGGAGCUAAUACCGGAUAAUAUAUUGAACCGCAUGGUUCAAUAGUGAAAGACGGUUUUGCUGUCACUUAUAGAUGGAUCCGCGCCGCAUUAGCUAGUUGGUAAGGUAACGGCUUACCAAGGCAACGAUGCGUAGCCGCCCUGAGAGGGUGAUCGGCCACACUGGAACUGAGACACGGUCCAGACUCCUACGGGAGGCAGAAGUAGGGAAUCUUCCGCAAUGGGCGAAAGCCUGACGGAGCAACGCCGCGUGAGUGAUGAAGGUCUUCGGAUCGUAAAACUCUGUUAUUAGGGAAGAACAAAUGUGUAAGUAACUAUGCACGUCUUGACGGUACCUAAUCAGAAAGCCACGGCUAACUACGUG